This is a long non-coding RNA of Equus caballus (horse), 9414 nucleotides long. NCBI's taxonomy places the organism in Eukaryota, Metazoa, Chordata, Mammalia, Perissodactyla, Equidae. The record is from Ensembl.
UUUACCAGCAAAAUCAGUUUAUUUGGGAAUAGGAAAGGAAUUGCAAUUUGGGACAAGCACACUAUAGCAAAAGCCACAGUCAAGUCUAGCACACAAAGGAGAGGGACUUUAUUUUAUAGAGAAAAAGGAGGAAGUUGGGAGGGUUGUUUUGAACAGAAGCCCAUUGGUGGAAAACAAGGUCUUGUUCAGGGUGGUGACUGUUUCUCGUUGGCUGGGUUGCUGGAGUGGUCUUUCUUGUCUGGAAGGCAGUGGACGUCUCUUCCGGGGCCUGUGACGGACGAUCUUUCCUGGAAUUGACGCAGAGCGGUAGUGCUGAGGGCUCCCCCUUCUGGCCUCCCCACUCCAUUUUGUGUAAGGUUUCCCUUUAUUAAUUUUCACACCUUGAAGAGUCUGUUGAUAGAAACAGAGACAUUCAAGGCGAUUCUGUGAGAGCUUCUGAAAGAGUCAGGAGGGCUGUAAGAAAGCGUCUGUUCCCUUAAGGAACAUGUAUAUUAUCUGCACAGAAUGUUGGUGUGGGGCCUGGUUUACGAACGCUGAAGGUGCUGCUGGGGAGGCUUUCGAGGAAAUGAUGAACACGUUAUUGGACACUGGCAGAAAAGCAGUGCUUGUUAUAAAGUGACGGAAACUUGGCAGAAUUGUGUUCUGUUGUCAGGUAGAAAGUAGAACUUACAAGGGGUGAACUUGGAUAUUUUGGUGAGGAGAUUGCCUAGCAAAAUGUGGAAGGUGCAGCCUGGUUUCUCUUUCCUGCUUAUAGGAAAAUGCAAGAGGAAAGAGGUAAAUGGAGGAAUGAAUUGCCGGAGAGAUUAGGAGUGUGACUUGCAGAUCUAACCAACCGUUUCCACAGAAACCCUGCCAGCGGGACUGAAGUAGGAGAGAAAACAGAGAUACAGAGACACACAGCAACACGGGAGAAGGCCGUGUGAAGAUGGAGACAGAGACGGGACUGAUGCGCCUGCAAGCCAAGGAUUGCCCAGGGUGGCCAGCAGCUGGUGGAAGCUAGGAAAGAAGCGUGGAAGUAUAACCGAAAGUUCAGUCCCUGAACCCGAUGCCAAUUCAAAUAACGAGAACGGUCUUGAGUGGAAGAGGAAAGUCUUUACUAUGCCAGGCACAGGGAGCAAAGCAAGGGCUCAUGCCUCAGAAAUUGCUGGCUCCCCGACAAGGAAUGGGUAGGGGUUUUUAUUUGGGGUUUUGGGUAGGUGAGGGGGAACACGUAGCUUGUGCAGCUCGGUGCUUUUCCACCAGCCUGCGUUUGGCCUUGAGAGGCUGCUUGCAGUGAGGCGGGGGUGGGGGGUGGGGGGAUAGGAGGAUGGCAGGUGGGCGUCCUUCAUCGUUGUCUCUUGUCUCGUCUUCCUGUUUGAGGCAGGUUCGUGCGCCGGGAGUGAGGAGUUGAGGUCUGGGAAGCCUGCCCUCCUUGAUAUUCUUGAGACAGCGGCUUUCCUGGCAGACUUCAAGGACAUAUGAUCAGCUAAACUUUAGUGUGCCUCCCAUUCCAGGCCACCUGGGCUUUUCACAAUUUGUAACUCCCAUUUAGUUAUAAAGCUCAAGGAGGCAAAGGUUAAAGAAAGAGGUGUUUACAUAUGAGCGGAGCUAGAGAAGCAGGAAAGGGGGUGGGGGGGUUAGUUUUAACCCCAUAUACGCUGCGUUCAAUGUGGGGGAACAGAUAUCAGGGCUCAUGUUAAGAGCCUGUAGCAGAAAUCUCUGUCAGAGGCUCCAGUAGGAACCAACCCUGUCAGCACCUCGAUUUUAGACUUCCAGCCUCUAGAGCUCUGAGAGAAUAGAUGUCUGUUGUUUUAAACCCCCAGGCUGUGGCAGUUUGUCAUGGCAGCCCUAGGACACUAACACACAGACUUUUAGAAGUAAUGACAUGGCAAUGACCUUUGGGGAGGCAGGCACGUGAAAGGCAGGCACGUGAAAGGGUGGACAGCAGUAAGCUCCUGGAGGACAAUUUGGGCAAUAUCCAUAAAAAUGGACAGGCAUGCGCCACUGACAAAGUAACCCUACUUCACUGUUGGUCACAUACAUUGUAACGUUGUUUGAAACAAUAAGCAGGAGUCUGGAUAGAUAUAUUAUGGAACAUCCUUUCAAUGCAAUACCUCACAUAAAGAACACAACAGUGUAACAUUUCAUUUCUUCAAAAAAGAGAUUUGAGGCACAUAUGGUGAAAUGUUUUUUAGAAUAAAAUCACAUCAUGGGGAUGCAAUAGCAAGAUAUAUAAUGGGGGGCCAGCACCCUGGCCAAGGGGUUAAGUUCGUGCUCUCUGCUUCGGCAGCCCGGGAUUUCGCUGGUUCAGAUCCUGGGCGCAGACAUGGCGCCGCUCAUCAGGCCAUACUGAGGAGGCGUCCCACGUGUCACAACUAGAAGGAACCGCAACUAAAAAUAUACAACUAUGUGCUGGAGAACUUUGGGGAGAAGAAGAAGAAGAAGAAAGAUUGGCAACAGAUGUUAGCUCAGGUGCCAAUCUUUAAAAAAAUAUAUAGCUCUAUCUAUCUAUCUAUCUAUCUAUCUAUCUAUCUAUUUAUCUAUCUAUCUACACACACACACACGCAUACACGCACAAUGUUGCGGAGACCUCCAUAGGACAAACUAUCCAAUUUCUUAAACAAGUAAAUUACAAGGAAGGAAAAAACAGAGGAAUGAGACACCUAUAGCUUAAAAGAGAUUGAAAAGGAUUCUGUUCCUGCUGUGCCAGAGUAAGCACCUACUGGAACUGACCUGUCUGCAGAGAACUAGAAACUCUGAACAAAAUUAAAUAAAACAAAGCAAUGACCAUAAGAUACUAGAGAGCGAAGAGUCUCUGGAGAGUAGUCGACACCGGAGAGAAGGGCUAACUUGGAAUGAAUUUCCUGUUUCUAUAGCUUUUAGCUUAAAGGUGAGCAAUAGUCCGUGUGGCAUGGGGUGGCUAAAACUCCAAUAAAAACCCUGCAGUCUUUCUGACCUCAACACCUGGAGGACAGAGUUCAGGCAAACCACAGCUGCUAGAAAGUGAGCAAGGGAUUCUGGAAAAAAGAGGAGACAGAGAAAAGAAGCCCUAAAUUCUCCUGUAAGGAGCCCGUAUAGACGGUUCCCCAGUCUCUGGCUUAUCCCUGAACGGCGCCUGCGCCGGCAGGCUCGAAGCAGCCCAGCAAAGAAUAGAGAACUGAACUGAGAUUUGAGCAGCCAUCCAAAAAGACAGAAUCUAAAGUCUGAGUUCAAGUGAGCAGGUUAAUUGUCUACUAAAAAAGACAGUUUUUUCUAAGACACUCUUCAGAAGACUGUAACAGAGUUUAGAGUCUCCACGACAUACCAGUCACAUUAUCUACGUCACAAUAAAAAAUUACUCCACUCUGAAGAGCCGGGAAGAAAUGACCCAUUCUCAAGAGAGGAAAGCAUCCUUAGAGACUACUCCCAAGAUGACCCAGAUAUUAUAUAGCAGACAAGAAUUUUAAGGCAGUGAUCACAGUUAUGCUCAAUGAUGUAAAGAAGAAGUCAGCAAAUUUUUUCUGUAGAAGGUCAGAUAGCAAAUGUUUUUGGCUUUGUGAGUCACACAGGAUCUCUGUUGCAACUGCUCAACCCUGAAAUUGUACUGUGAAAGCAGUCAUAAGAUAGUGUGUGUAAACAAAAGAUAUAGCUGCUUUUCAGUAAAACUUUAUUUACAAAAACAGACAGUGAGCCAAAUUAAAUCCACAGACUGUCAUUUGCUGACCCCUGACAUAAAGAAAAAUAUCUCACAAUGAAUGAAAAGAUAGGAAACCUCAGCAGAGAAAUAAAAACUAAAAAAAGAACCAAGAGGAAAUUCCACAACUGAAAAACAGGAUGCCUAACAUAAAGAAUUCACUGGAGGGGCCAGCCUGGUGGUGCAGCAAAGUUCCCAUGUUCUGCUUUGGUGGCCCGGGGUUUGCCGGUUGGGAUCCCGGGUGCGGACAUGGCACUGCUUGUCAAGCCAUGCCAUGGUGGGUGUCCCACAUAUAAAGUAGAGGAAGACGGGCAUGGGUGUUAGCUCAGGGCCAGUCUUCCUCAGCGAAAAGAGGAGGAUUGGCAGCAGAUGUUAGCUCAGGGCUAAUCUUCCUCAAAAAAAAAAAAAAAGAAUUCACUAGAUUGGGUUUAACAACCAAACAUAGAUGACAGCAAAGUAGUAAGUGAGCUUGAGGGUAGGGCAAUAGAAAUUAUUCAAUCUGAAGAAUAGGAAAAAUAAAAACCAAAUAGAACCCCAGGGAUCAAUGGGACAAUAUCAAAAAGGGUAACAUAAAUGCAAUUGGACUCCCAGAAGGACAGAAGGCGGGGAGAGAGGGUUAAAAAAAAAAAAAAAAAAAAGAAGAAGAGGAAUUGAUAGCUUAAAACUCAACAAUAAGAAAACAAACUCUGAUUUUAUUUUUUUUUAAGAUUUUUUUGUUUUUCCUUUUUCUCCCCAAAGCCCCCCAGUAUAUAGUUGUAUAUUUUAGUUGUGAGUCCUUCUAGUUGUGGCAUGUGGGACGCUGCCUCAGCAUAGCCUGACGAGCAGUGGCAUGUCUGCGCCCAGGAUCCAAAGCGGUGAAACCCUGGCCACCGAAGUGGAGCGUGAGAACCCAACCACUCGGCCACGGGGCCAGCCCCAUAACUCUGAUUUUAAAAUGGGCGAAAAAGUUUACCUGGCAGAUGAGAUGCCGUGAUCACAAAGGUGGUUUCCCCAGGACAAGGCUCAUCCAAUGCUCACCCCUGUGAUUUCCCCACGUGUCCUAGGAGGGGACUGCUCUGUGUUCACGUUCUCCCCUGAAAAAAAUGGGCAAAAAGCCUGGACAGACACCUCACCAAGGAAGAUAUACAGAAGGUACAUAAGCCAAGUAACUCAUGAGUCAAAGAAAUAAUCACAAGAAAAAUUAGAAAAGAUUUUGAACUGAAUAACAAAAAUAUCAAAAUUUGAGGAGCUAAGGCAAUGCUUAGAGGAAAACUUAGAGUCCUAAAUGCCUGUAUGAGAAAAGAAGAAAUAAGUGCCUAAAGUCAAGUACCUGAGGAUCAACCUUAGGAAGCUGAAAGCGAAGAGCAAAGUAACCUCAAAGUAAGUAGAAGAAAGGAAAUUCCAGUUCCAGAAACAAAAAACAAAACAAAACAAAAUAAUUGUUAAAACAGCAAGGCCAAAAAGUAGUUCUUUGAAAAGAUCAACAAAAUUGAUAUACCUUAGCUAGAGCAAUUAAGAAAAAACAGAAAUACACAAGUUAGUAAGAUUAGGAAUGAAAGAGGGCUAUUGCAACAGAAAUUGACAGCAUUAAAAGAAGAAUUAGAGAAUAUUCUGAACAAUGUCAGCGCUACAAAUUCAACAGGUUAGAAGAAAGGGACAAAUUCCUUGUAAAAUGCUGACACAAGAUGAUAAAAUAGAAAAUAUAAAUAGAAUUGUGUCUAUUAAAGAAGUUGAAUUCAUUAAAAAAAAAAAAUCUUCCACAAAGAAACUCUAGGCCCAGAUGAUUUUACUGGUAGAUUCUACCAAAUAUUUAAGGAAGAAAUAACACAUAUCUUAAACAAAUUAUUUUUAAAAACAGAGGAGGAUGGAACACUUUCCAAGUCAUUUCAUUGAGUCCGUAGAACUCUGGUUCCAAAACUUAAAAAACACAUUUUAAAAAUUGCAAGCGAAUAGUCUUCGCUUGGGUGGAAAACUCCAUAAGAAAAUAUGAGCAAAUUCAAUCUAGCAGCAGAUGAAAAGGAUAAUACAUUAUGAGCAAGUGGGAUUUAUCCCAGUCAUGCAAAAUGGGUUUGGCAUUUGAAAAUCAAUGUAAUUCACCAUACUAGCAUCAUAAAGGAUAACCAUACUUCAGUAAAUUCAGGAAAAGCAUUUGACAAAACUCAACACAUUCACAAUAAAAACUGUUAGUAAACUAGGAAUAAUAAGGAAAUUCCUCAAUCUGAUAAAGCCCAUCUAUUAAAAAAAAAAAACCUACCGUUAAUAUCCUGUUUAAUAGUGUUCCGUAAGACUGGGAACAAAGUAAUACCAAAUCUAUUUAACAUUGUACUGGGGGUCCUAGCCACUGCAAUAAGGCAAGGGAAAAAAGGCACAAAAAUCUGAGAGAAGAAUUAAAACUGACUCUCUUUGUUGAUGACAAGAUUAUUUAGAUAGAAAAUCCUACGGAUUCUACAGCUACUAGAACCACAGGAUACAAAAUUACUGUCCAAAAUUUAACUGUAUUUUAUAUACUGAGAGCAAACAACUGGAAAUAAAAUCUUAAAACAUUUCCAUUUAUACUAGUCUCCCCCAAACCGUGAAAUUAGAAGUAACAAGAGACUUGCAAGACCUACACUGAAAACUAUAAAACAUUGUUGAGAGAAAUUACGGGAUAUUUAAAUCAACAGAGCAAAAUGCCAUGCUCAAGAUGUGGAAGGCACACUACCCCGAAGACACCAACUUCCUCCCGCACGGAUCCAUAGGAUUGGCACACUUCUUCUUAAAGGGCUGGAUAGCAAUUAUUUUAGGCUUGUGUGCCAUAUGGUCUCUGUUGCAACCUCUUAACUCUGUCAUUGUAGCGUGAAAGCAGCCACAGACAAUAAAGAAAGGAACAGGCAGGGCUGUGUUCCAAUAAAACUUUAUUUACAAAAUAGGUGGCUGGCUGCCACGGGCUGGGUUUGCCCAAAUUUAUAAAUUGAACACAAUCUCAAUUGUAAUCCAAGCAGGAUUUUAGUGGAAAUUCACAGUCUGAUCCUAAAAUUUAUUUGAAAAUUCAAAAGACUUAGAAUAUCCAAAGCAGUCUAAAAAAUGAAGAAGAAAAAGAACUUACAUUAUCUUACUUUAAUACCGACCAUAGAACCACCAUAAUCAAGAAAGUGUGGUCCUGGCGAAAGGACCGACAGACCAACAGAAUAGAAGGGAAAGCCCCGAAAUGGAGCCGUAUUUCCACAGUCAGUUGAUUUUGAAAAAGGCAUCAAAGCAAUCCAAUGAAGAAAAGAAAAUCUUUUCCACAAAUGGAUCUGGAAUCGCCAUACGUUCUUACGGAAAAAAAUGAGCCUCAGUGCCCAUUUCAUACCACACAAAACUCAAAAUGAAUUCAAGACGAAUCAUAGUGAUAAGCAUACUAGACAAAGCCAUAAGCUUCUGAAGGAAAACAGGAGAAUGUCUUCAGGAUUUGAGGGGUCGACAAAAAUUUCUUAGGUCACAGAGAAUAAGAUAAAAUUUGAUAAAUGAAAUUUUAUUAAAUAAAAAACUCCUGCUCAUCAUCAGGUUUCGUUAAGAAAAAUAAAUAGGCAAGCCACACUGGGAGAAAAUAUUCGCAAAACAUAUAUCUGAAAAAGGACUAGUGCCCAGAAUAUGCCUAUUUUUAAAAUAGGCAUAUAGUCCUUUUGCAGAACGCCUAUUUUUAAAAAGCCUCCAAUCAAUAAGGCUGAGACUAGCAACUAAAUUUUAAAACAGGCAAAAGAUUGGAACAGGCACUUUACUGAAGAAGAUGUAUGAAUAGCCAAUAAUGAAAAAUAUUCAACAUGACUAUGUUCAACAUCAGGGACGUGUAAAUUAAAACUAUAGCACACAUCCAUUACACACGCAUCAGAACGGCUAAAAUUGAAAUACCUGACAGCAUUAAAGAUUUCUGAGGAUGUGGAGCUGGAAAUCUCAGACGUUGUUGGUGGGAACGUGAAAUGGGACAACCGUUUUGGGAAAAGGUCUGGGAGUUUCUUGGAGAACUAAACGAUGCCUACCCGAUGACACAGAGUUCCACUCUCUGAUGCGUGCUGAGAGAAAUGAAAGGACAUUUUCACAAAAAGUCUUGCACGGUCAUGUUCACAGCCACUUUAUUCAUAACAGCCCCCAGUUGGAAAGAGCCCUCGUAGCACCAGUAGGAGCACGUUGGAACAAACCGCGGUUCGUUCCCUCACUGGAAUCUACUCACCAACGGGAAGGAACGAGCUGCCGCUGCCCACAGUAAAGGUGAACCUCAGAAACAUUGCCCUGAGUGAAAGGAGCCUUACACAAAGGAAGCGUAGAGUAUGACCACAUUUAUAGGAAGUCCUAGAAGAGGCAAAAUAAAUCUGCGUUGGAAGAAAAUCAGAACAGGGGAUGCCUCUAGGAGACUGCAGGUGGGGAUUGAAUAGAAAAGGGCAUGAGGGUACUUUCUGGGUUAUGAUGAUCUUCUGUAUCUUGACAUAUUUCAAAUUAUACUCAUGUACGUUUUUGUCAAAACACAGAAUAUGACAGCUAAUAUGUGCACAUUUCAUUGUAUAUAAUAUCCCCCCCUUUUUUUUUUUGCUGAGGAAGACUGUCCCCGAGCUAACAGCGUGCCAGUCUUCCUCUAUUUUGUAUGUAAGAGCCGCCACAGCGUGGCCUGGUGAGCCGUGUAUGUCCACGCCCGGGAUUCGAACCCACAAACUGCAGGCCGCAGAAGGGGAACGCGCAAACUUAACCACUAUGCCACUCAGUGGACCCUCCAUUUUUUUAUUGUGAAUUUGCCUAUUCUAGAUGCCCGGAGCUGCGCUGUGCUGGGAGACGGAGCUGAGCUGUCAGUGCUGGGGCAGCGGGUGAAAGCAACAAGCCAAAGACGAAAGGGGGAAGCUUUAAUCACUUACUGCGGUGACAGAAGCGAGAAGGCACCGACGCCCCGUUCCAUCUUCCCCCAUGAGUGGCGCACCUGUGGAGGGUCAGGUGGAGCAGAGCACGUGUUGAGGGGACCCCACAGGGAGGAGGAGGGGUGGGUGUGGAGGAGGACAGCGGGGAGUGGAGGAGCACUGGGCCCUGAGUCAGGGGGGCAGUAUCUUGGUGGUCCCCCCUCAUCCCCACCUAAAGAGGCCUCACAGAGGCGCCUGGAGAAGAGCCCUGCCUGAGGUCGCAGAUAGCGACCUAGGAAUGGAGGCACCCGGCUAGGAAUGUAAAUGGGCGAGGAGAAGGCCGGCCAGGGGCAGAGUCCUCGCCUGCAGCUCCCUCAGAGCCCGCAGUGCCCGCCGCCGGGCCGGGCUGCUGGGGGAAGGGAGCUUCCCCACCCCUCCCCGCAUGGCCACCAGGGAAAGCGUUUGUAAUGGCCUGUGGCGGCCAAAAAGUCGCACAAAGACGUUUAACCCGGAGCCCGACUCCUCACUACAUAUUUCAAAAAUCAGACAGACAUAAUUGCAUGGAGCUACUUCUGAGCCUCUAUUCUAACCCCUUGAGCUAUGCAUCCAUCCCUCCUCAAUAUCACAGAGUCUGGAGAUGUAUGACAAGAUGCGUAAUCAGCUCACCUGUGACCACUCAGCUGGAGACAACAGACUGCCACCCUGCUGUGUUCACUGAGACAGAAGACCUACCUGCUGUUUCCAUCAAUCGCUGUGCCGACAGAGCAGUCUCGCGACUAUUGUAAAAGAGACAUUUCAAUCCUAUGUGAAACAUCCUCUCUGGGGGUAUAUAACCAGUCUCUGCACCCCACUUCUUUGGUGCCCUUUCUUCCUUCGGGAAGAAAGGCCCCGGGUUAUAAUCCUCAGAUUUAAGCUCAGAAUAAACUCACCCAAAUUUUCAUU